GAGAUUUUGGAUUGCUGGUGGUGGCUUGCGAGACAGUUCUUGCGCCCACCGGCUCUCCGCAUACCAAACAACGUGAACAACCGGUGACGGCCCUGCCGUUGCCACCUUUACAACUGUCGUCCUAUGUCUUGAAAGUAAACAAAAGAGUA
This 149-nucleotide unclassified non-coding RNA is filed under the name uncultured fungus. Its description in RNAcentral is "sequence contains ITS1, 5.8S rRNA gene". The record is from RNAcentral. Lineage: Eukaryota; Fungi.